Molecule: non-coding RNA, 535 nt
Organism: Cinara cedri
Lineage: Eukaryota; Metazoa; Arthropoda; Insecta; Hemiptera; Aphididae
Source: the annotation of a GenBank genome assembly
AUAUCUUAUAAUAGUAACUCAAAUAUAUUUUGGUUUUAGGAUGCAUUGGCCAAGGAUUUGUCACCUGUGGACCAAGUUUGAUCUUAUUUUGCUGUAUCCUUAUCUGAAGACAACCAUAACCAAUGAAGUGUGUGGAGAAAGACAUGUGUUAUGAAUAUUCAAUGUCUAAAAUUAUCUUUCACAAAACUCACCUUUAUCUAGCUGCAUAUUGUUCUUAUGGUGUUUCUCAAUUUAAGAAUUUUUAAAAGUUGUACAUAAUAUAAAAAACUGUUUAAUGCACAUUACUAAUUCUUGUGUUUGUUUUUCUCAGGAAGUAUUUGAAAAAUUUUGAUCAUAUUAACAUUGAGUCCAGUGCUAUUGCAAAGUCUCUUUUACUGAAGAAAACCAAUACAAAUGUGGAUUGUGUAAGGAGUCCUGUGUUGAGACUGUUCAAAGUGAAAAUUGUUCUUCUACCCUAAUCAAAUGCUGUUCUUCGAUUCAAAAAUAUUGAAGGUCAGACGUUAUUAUAUAUUUAUUUUUACGAAUAUUAUAUUUA